RNAcentral lists this ribosomal RNA (1700 nucleotides) under Drosophila hexastigma. Its description in RNAcentral is "eukaryotic LSU rRNA". It matches the Rfam family "Eukaryotic large subunit ribosomal RNA", at positions 1963 to 3401 of the family's 3401-position model. Lineage: Eukaryota; Metazoa; Arthropoda; Insecta; Diptera; Drosophilidae. The record is from RNAcentral.
AUAGAUAGUCGGGCUUNAUUGGGAAACAAUAACAUGGUUAAUGUGCUCGUUCUGGGUAAAUAGAGUCUAUCAUUUUAUGGUAGUUUCUUGUCCCCCGGAUAGUUUAGUUACGUAGCCAAUUGUGGAACUUUCUUGCUAAAAUUUUUAAGAAUACUAGUCGGGCAACCGAUUAGUUCUUUUAAAUUAUAACGAUUAUCAAUUAACAAUCAAUUCAGAACUGGCACGGACUUGGGGAAUCCGACUGUCUAAUUAAAACAAAGCAUUGUGAUGGCCCUAGCGGGUGUUGACACAAUGUGAUUUCUGCCCAGUGCUCUGAAUGUCAAAGUGAAGAAAUUCAAGUAAGCGCGGGUCAACGGCGGGAGUAACUAUGACUCUCUUAAGGUAGCCAAAUGCCUCGUCAUCUAAUUAGUGACGCGCAUGAAUGGAUUAACGAGAUUCCUACUGUCCCUAUCUACUAUCUAGCGAAACCACAGCCAAGGGAACGGGCUUGGAAUAAUUAGCGGGGAAAGAAGACCCUUUUGAGCUUGACUCUAAUCUGGCAGUGUAAGGAGACAUAAGAGGUGUAGAAUAAGUGGGAGAUAUUAGGCUUCUGUUUGAUAUCGCCAAUGAAAUACCACUACUCUUAUUGUUUCCUUACUUACUUGAUUAAGUGGAACGUGUAUCAUUUCCUAGCCAUUAUACGGAUAUAUUAAUUAUGUCUUAUGGUAUUGGGUUUUGAUGCAAGCUUCUUGAUCAAAGUAUCACGAGUUUGUUAUAUAAUCGCAAACAAAUUCUUUAAUGAGAAAAUGCAUUUAUGUGUUUUUGAUUUAAUAAUUUGGUAUAACUCCAAUUACUCAGGUAUGAUCCAAUUCAAGGACAUUGSSWGGUAGGUAGUUUGACUGGGGCGGUACAUCUCUCAAAUAAUAACGGAGGUGUCCCAAGGCCAGCUCAGUGCGGACAGAAACCACACAUAGAGCAAAAGGGCAAAUGCUGACUUGAUCUCGGUGUUCAGUACACACAGGGACAGCAAAAGCUCGGCCUAUCGAUCCUUUUGGUUUAAAGAGUUUUUAACAAGAGGUGUCAGAAAAGUUACCAUAGGGAUAACUGGCUUGUGGCGGCCAAGCGUUCAUAGCGACGUCGCUUUUUGAUCCUUCGAUGUCGGCUCUUCCUAUCAUUGUGAAGCAAAAUUCACCAAGCGUUGGAUUGUUCACCCAUGCAAGGGAACGUGAGCUGGGUUUAGACCGUCGUGAGACAGGUUAGUUUUACCCUACUAAUGACAAAACGUUGUUGCGACAGCAUUCCUGCGUAGUACGAGAGGAACCGCAGGUACGGACCAAUGGCACAAUACUUGUUCGAGCGAACAGUGGUAUGACGCUACGUCCGUUGGAUUAUGCCUGAACGCCUCUAAGGUCGUAUCCGUGCUGGACUGCAAUGAUAAAUAAGGGGCAAUUUGCAUUGUAUGGCUUCUAAACCAUUAAAAGUCAAUAAUUCAUUUUAUUGACGACAAUGGAUGUGAUGCCAAUGUUAUAUAUAACAUAGUAAAUUGGGAGGAUCUUCGAUCACCUGAUGCCGCGCUAGUUAUAUUUUAAAACAUUAUUUAAUACAAUGACAAAGCCUGGAAUCAAUUGUAAACNACUUUUGUAACAGGCAAGGUGUUGUAAGUGGUUGAGCAGCUGCCAUACUGCGAUCCACUGAAGCUUAUCCUUUGCUUGAUGAUUCGA